This 225-nucleotide ribosomal RNA is filed under the name uncultured bacterium. RNAcentral's name for it is "partial 16S ribosomal RNA". It matches the Rfam family "Bacterial small subunit ribosomal RNA", at positions 109 to 334 of the family's 1533-position model. The record is from RNAcentral.
AGUAACGCGUGGAUAGCCUGCCUCACACUGGGGGAUAACAGUUAGAAAUGACUGCUAAUACCGCAUAAGCGCACAGUACCGCAUGGUACAGUGUGAAAAACUCCGGUGGUGUGAGAUGGAUCCGCGUCUGAUUAGCCAGUUGGCGGGGUAACGGCCCACCAAAGCGACGAUCAGUAGCCGACCUGAGAGGGUGACCGGCCACAUUGGGACUGAGACACGGCCCAA